GACGAACCGUGCGAACGUUGUUCGGAAUCACUGGGCUUAAAGGGCGCGUAGGCGGGUCACCAAGUCCGGGGUGAAAUCCUUCGGCUCAACCGGAGAAUAGCCUUGGAUACUGGUGGUCUCGAGCGAGGUAGGGGCAGCUGGAACUUCCGGUGGAGCGGUGAAAUGCGUUGAUAUCGGAAGGAACGCCGGUGGCGAAAGCGAGCUGCUGGACCUCUUCUGACGCUGAGGCGCGAAAGCCAGGGGAGCAAACGGG
This 253-nucleotide ribosomal RNA is filed under the name uncultured bacterium. RNAcentral's name for it is "partial 16S ribosomal RNA". It matches the Rfam family "Bacterial small subunit ribosomal RNA", at positions 524 to 776 of the family's 1533-position model. The record is from RNAcentral.